This 64-nucleotide transfer RNA is filed under the name Warodia hoso. Its description in RNAcentral is "tRNA-Tyr". Lineage: Eukaryota; Metazoa; Arthropoda; Insecta; Hemiptera; Cicadellidae. The record is from RNAcentral. RNAcentral also lists the same sequence under 2 other names.
AUUGAAGUGUCUGAUUUAGGUGAUAAACUGUAAAUUUAUUUAAGGACAUAUUUUCCCUUCAAUA